RNAcentral lists this ribosomal RNA (253 nucleotides) under uncultured bacterium. RNAcentral's name for it is "partial 16S ribosomal RNA". It matches the Rfam family "Bacterial small subunit ribosomal RNA", at positions 524 to 776 of the family's 1533-position model. The record is from RNAcentral.
UACGUAGGGGGCAAGCGUUGUCCGGAUUUAUUGGGCGUAAAGAGCGUGUAGGCGGCCAGGUAGGUCUGCUGUGAAAACUCGAGGCUUAACCUCGAGCUGUCGGCGGAAACCAUCUGGCUAGAGUCCGGAAGAGGAGAAUGGAAUUCCCGGUGUAGCGGUGAAAUGCGCAGAUAUCGGGAAGAACACCCGUGGCGAAGGCGGUUCUCUGGGACGGUACUGACGCUGAGAAGCGAAAGCAUGGGGAGCGAACAGG